Molecule: long non-coding RNA, 1250 nt
Filed under: Capsicum annuum
Lineage: Eukaryota; Viridiplantae; Streptophyta; Magnoliopsida; Solanales; Solanaceae
Description: long non-coding RNA (CANN_LNC020820)
Source: RNAcentral
AGCCACGAGACCAACUCUAGUCCAGCUAACUAGGCUGAGAACGAUCACCCACGGCACCAUGACCCGAAGGCCAGCCAUAAACUGGAAAAGACAUAAACUACUGAGAAAUCAUUCUUUCAACUCUCAAGCAAUUCAUAGGCAUCUGAGUUAAACAGAAACAAUUGGACUUUGCAUUGGGUAGGGGCUGCACGAACACAGGCUCCCACUGCCACAAAUUAUGAUGUAGGCUCGGCCACUUGGACCGGCCUUAGGAGUCUGUCAGACAGUCACGAGACAAUCAUCACCGAGUGGGCUAUGGUGGGGUUACUAAUCACGCUCUAGUCUCACAGCCACGCGAUCAUCCACCCUACUUGGUUUCCUGUCUCCUUAGAACUCAAGGAUACCGUGCUACGAGCCUAUACAACAGAUCCUGUUCAUGUAAGGUCGCGCCCGUCCAAGUUGCUGUGAUGUUAUAUAAAAGACUACCUUCCCUAACUAACCAAGUCGAUGACUAUAGCAACAAAAGCUGUGAUUUCGUAUUAGAUGCCUUUAUUUUUUAAGGUUAGUACACAAUUGAUUCACAUGAAUUAUAUUAUUUGAAAGAUUAUUAGUUUGGGUCAUGUAUUCUAAAGUUUCUUCUUAAGAGAUACAUAAGAGUGAUUGCCAUUGGAAGAGAGAGGCUCUUGAGAAAGUGGGCACAAAGCAAUUCAUUAGCCCAUAAUUUAGACCACCAGAGUAAUACUUGUUAGACCUUGAAUUGGGGUAGGGGCCGCGCCAUGAGACUAGAACGUGAUUAACCGGCCUCCAUGGCCUUUGGGUCAUGGUGUCAUAGAUGAUCGUUCUCGGCUUGGUUUGCUGGGCUUGAGCUACUGCGACAAAUAGGUACAGUGCUAUGGAAGUCACCAAAGAAAGUAACUUCGGAGAGAAAACGGGUAAACAUCGAUUCUGAGAAUUGAGCUCUAGCAAAAAAUUUUGGUAGUAGUCUGUCAGACAGCCACGAGACCACCUCAAGCCCAGCGAACCAAGCUGAGAACGAUCAUCUACAACACCAUGACCCAAAGGUAAUGGAGGCCAGUUAAUCACGCUCUAGUCUCAUGGCUUCAAUUCAUCCACCAGACUUAGUUUCCUGUCUCCUUAGAAGUCAAGGAUACAGUGGUACGAGCCUAUAGAACAGAUCCUGUUCAAGUAAGGUCGUGCCCAUCUGAGUUGCUGCAACAACAUAUAAACACUUGGCUGCCUCGCUAGCUUAUCGAUGUGGGACACGAGGUGGG